UCCACGCCCUAAACGAUGUAUGCUUGGUGUUGGGAGUUCUGCUCUCAGUGCCGGAGGUAACCCGUUAAGCAUACCACCUGGGGAGUACGAUCGCAAGGUUGAAACUCAAAGGAAUUGACGGAGGCCCGCACAAGCGGUGGAUCAUGUGGUUUAAUUCGAUGCAACGCGAAGAACCUUACCCGGGCUUGAAGUGUAGGUAGUAAAGAGACGAAAGUCGAAUGAACCGUUAAGCCGGUUGCCUACAGAGGUGCUGCAUGGCUGUCGUCAGCUCGUGCCGUGAGGUGUUGGGUUAAGUCCCG
Molecule: ribosomal RNA, 299 nt
Filed under: uncultured bacterium
Lineage: Bacteria
Description: partial 16S ribosomal RNA
Rfam family: Bacterial small subunit ribosomal RNA
Source: RNAcentral